This 497-nucleotide ribosomal RNA is filed under the name uncultured bacterium. RNAcentral's name for it is "partial 16S ribosomal RNA". It matches the Rfam family "Bacterial small subunit ribosomal RNA", at positions 28 to 507 of the family's 1533-position model. The record is from RNAcentral.
GAUGAACGCUGGCGGCGUGCCUAAUACAUGCAAGUCGAGCGAACAGACGAGGAGCUUGCUCCUCUGACGUUAGCGGCGGAAGGGUGAGUAACACGUGGAUAACCUACCUAUAAGACUGGGAUAACUUCGGGAAACCGGAGCUAAUACCGGAUAAUAUAUUGAACCGCAUGGUUCAAUAGUGAAAGACGGUUUUGCUGUCACUUAUAGAUGGAUCCGCGCCGCAUUAGCUAGUUGGUAAGGUAACGGCUUACCAAGGCAACGAUGCGUAGCCGACCUGAGAGGGUGAUCGGGCACACUGGAACUGAGACACGGUCCAGAGUCCUACGGGAGGCAGCAGUAGGGAAUCUUCCGCAAUGGGCGAAAGCCUGACGGAGCAACGCCGCGUGGGUGAUGAAGGUCUUCGGAUCGUAAAACUCUGUUAUUAGGGAAGAACAAAUGUGUAAGUAACGAUGCACGUCUUGACGGUACCUAAUCAGAAAGCCACGGCUAACUACGUG